RNAcentral lists this ribosomal RNA (377 nucleotides) under uncultured eukaryote. RNAcentral's name for it is "partial 18S ribosomal RNA". It matches the Rfam family "Eukaryotic small subunit ribosomal RNA", at positions 592 to 976 of the family's 1831-position model. The record is from RNAcentral.
CAAUAGCGUAUAUUUAAGUUGCUGCAGUUAAAAAGCUCGUAGUUGGAUUUCGGGUGGGAAUGGCCGGUCCGCCGUUUCGGUGUGCACUUGCUACGCCCACCUUGCUGCCGGGGACGUGCUCUUGAGUUCACGCUCGGGACACGGAGUCGGCGAGGUUAGUUUGAGUAAAUUAGAGUGUUCAAAGCAGGCCUACGCUCUGAAUACAUUAGCAUGGAAUAACACGAUAGGACUCUGGCCUAUCUUGUUGGUCUGUAGGACCGGAGUAAUGAUUAAGAGGGACAGUCGGGGGCAUUCGUAUUUCAUUGUCAGAGGUGAAAUUCUUGGAUUUAUGAAAGACGAACUACUGCGAAAGCAUUUGCCAAGGAUGUUUUCAUUAA